GGCAGCCGGUUCCGGUUCGGACUUUGUAUCUUUGCUAAAGUCAGUGAUGUGAAAAGACUUGAAAUGGAUGAUAUUGCUGAUAGGAUGAGGAUGGAUGCUGGAGAAGUGACUUUAGUGAACCACAACUCCGUAUUCAAAACCCACCUCCUGCCACAAACAGGUUUUCCAGAGGACCAGCUUUCGCUUUCUGACCAGCAGAUUUUAUCUUCCAGGCAAGGACAUUUGGACCGAUCUUUUACAUGUUCCACAAGAAGUGCAGCUUAUAAUCCAAGCUAUUACUCAGAUAAUCCUUCCUCAGACAGUUUUCUUGGCUCAGGCGAUUUAAGAACCUUUGGCCAGAGUGCAAAUGGCCAAUGGAGAAAUUCUACCCCAUCGUCAAGCUCAUCUUUACAAAAAUCAAGAAACAGCCGAAGUCUUUACCUCGAAACCCGAAAGACCUCAAGGUUCGUAUUUUGUCAUCUUAGUUCUCAAGCCCUUCCUCAGACAUAAGAGAAAGUGACUAAAAGGUAGAUAGUUAUUACAUUGGGAUUUUAAAAGAGUAACACCAUUUUUGGACUUUAAACCUUAAGGAUAUGAACAAAUCCAUUUUACAUUUUCAACUUCUCAUUUACUUAGUGCUGAAUUUUGAUGAUAGCCAGAUCUUACUAGAAGAGAGAAUUUUAAGUAAAUCUUGGUGGAUAUGAGAAUAUUG
This 691-nucleotide long non-coding RNA is filed under the name Homo sapiens (human). Its description in RNAcentral is "non-protein coding lnc-ASB8-1:2". The record is from RNAcentral. Lineage: Eukaryota; Metazoa; Chordata; Mammalia; Primates; Hominidae.